AGAGUUUGAUCCUGGCUCAGAUUGAACGCUGGCGGCAUGCCUUACACAUGCAAGUCGAACGGUAGAGGGGCAACCCUUGAGAGUGGCGAACGGGUGAGUAAUAUAUCGGAACGUGCCCAGUCGUGGGGGAUAACGCAGCGAAAGCUGCGCUAAUACCGCAUACGAUCUAUGGAUGAAAGCGGGGGAUCGCAAGACCUCGCGCGAUUGGAGCGGCCGAUAUCAGAUUAGGUAGUUGGUGGGGUAAAAGCCCACCAAGCCGACGAUCUGUAGCUGGUCUGAGAGGACGACCAGCCACACUGGGACUGAGACACGGCCCAGACUCCUACGGGAGGCAGCAGCGGGGAAUUUUGGACAAUGGGCGCAAGCCUGAUCCAGCAAUGCCGCGUGCAGGACGAAGGCCUUCGGGUUGUAAACUGCUUUUGUACGGAGCGAAACGGUCUGGGUUAAUACCCUGGGNUAAUGACGGUACCGUAAGAAUAAGCACCGGCUAANUNNNNNNNNNCCGCCGCGGUAAUAC
This 517-nucleotide ribosomal RNA is filed under the name uncultured soil bacterium. RNAcentral describes it as "16S ribosomal RNA". It matches the Rfam family "Bacterial small subunit ribosomal RNA", at positions 8 to 526 of the family's 1533-position model. The record is from RNAcentral.